This 84-nucleotide transfer RNA is filed under the name Lachnospiraceae bacterium oral taxon 500. RNAcentral describes it as "tRNA-Leu". It matches the Rfam family "tRNA". From Rfam's summary of the family: Transfer RNA (tRNA) molecules are approximately 80 nucleotides in length. Their secondary structure includes four short double-helical elements and three loops (D, anti-codon, and T loops). Further hydrogen bonds mediate the characteristic L-shaped molecular structure. tRNAs have two regions of fundamental functional importance: the anti-codon, which is responsible for specific mRNA codon recognition, and the 3' end, to which the tRNAs corresponding amino acid is attached (by aminoacyl-tRNA synthetases). tRNAs cope with the degeneracy of the genetic code in two manners: having more than one tRNA (with a specific anti-codon) for a particular amino acid; and 'wobble' base-pairing, i.e. permitting non-standard base-pairing at the 3rd anti-codon position. Lineage: Bacteria; Bacillati; Bacillota; Clostridia; Lachnospirales; Lachnospiraceae. The record is from RNAcentral. RNAcentral also lists the same sequence under 2 other names.
GCCCGAGUGGCGGAAUAGGUAGACGCACAGGACUUAAAAUCCUGCGGUAGCGAUACCGUGCCGGUUCGAGUCCGGCCUCGGGCA